AAAAUAAUAUAACAAUUCCCAAUCAUACGUGAAAAUAUAAAAAUAUGUAUCAGUAUUCGAAAAAUUUAGUCCUUACGAAUACUCAUUAGUUCAUCAUGGAAAAAAACUUAAUAAUCACGAUUGUUGAAAUUACUCAUGUUUCUAAAUACAAUUAUCGAUGAAAAAACAUUAGUGACCAAUGACGUCAAUAGAAUCAUCUAUAUCAUACUUGGUACAACUGAAAAUAAACCAUAAUUAACGGAAGAGUGAUAAAUUUUUAAUAGUCAUUUUCAAAGUCGGCUUCUUUUCAUCUCCAGAAACUCGAAAAUAACCCAGGGAAAAAUAAUUUUGAAAAUACUCCACCAGUCAUAAUUGUCUCAGAUGAUGUACCAAAUAACAAUUAUGUUCUAAUUUAUUAUGAAUUCAUGAGAUUGAUUCGACCUCAUAUGAGGAAUUGGCCAUGUGAAAACACUUUCUUAACGCGUAAAUAUGAAGACGCAGAUUGUUAUCUCUCAAACGUACGACCGGAUUUCUACAUUACUUUUCCGAGAUGUCUGUACAGGAAACCAGCAUUUUUGAAAUAAUAUCAUGAAUUUUGAUAAAUAUCAAUAAUCACUCAAAAGAAGUAAAAUUCCAUGUUAUUAGUGAAUAAUACAAGAAUAAAGAAUAUGUUAAUUUAUGAGCCAUUAA
Long non-coding RNA from Microplitis demolitor, 669 nucleotides. RefSeq lists it as uncharacterized. Lineage: Eukaryota; Metazoa; Arthropoda; Insecta; Hymenoptera; Braconidae. The transcript has 4 exons. The record is from RefSeq and is a predicted model, not a curated record.